This 492-nucleotide ribosomal RNA is filed under the name uncultured bacterium. RNAcentral's name for it is "partial 16S ribosomal RNA". It matches the Rfam family "Bacterial small subunit ribosomal RNA", at positions 28 to 507 of the family's 1533-position model. The record is from RNAcentral.
GAUGAACGCUAGCUACAGGCUUAACACAUGCAAGUCGAGGGGAAACGGCAUUAAGUGCUUGCACUUUUUGGACGUCGACCGGCGCACGGGUGAGUAACGCGUAUCCAACCUUCCCAUGACUAAGGGAUAACCUGCCGAAAGGCAGACUAAUACCUUAUGGUCUUCACUGACGGCAUCAGAUGUGAAGUAAAGAUUUAUCGGUUAUGGAUGGGGAUGCGUCUGAUUAGCUUGUUGGCGGGGUAACGGCCCACCAAGGCAACGAUCAGUAGGGGUUCUGAGAGGAAGGUCCCCCACAUUGGAACUGAGACACGGGCCAAACUCCUACGGGAGGCAGCAGUGAGGAAUAUUGGUCAAUGGGCGAGAGCCUGAACCAGCCAAGUAGCGUGCAGGAGGACGGCCCUAUGGGUUGUAAACUGCUUUUGUAUGGGGAUAAAGUCAAUCACGUGUGAUUGUUUGCAGGUACCAUACGAAUAAGGACCGGCUAAUUCCGUG